Helianthus annuus (common sunflower) is the source of this 2446-nucleotide long non-coding RNA. RefSeq lists it as uncharacterized. Lineage: Eukaryota; Viridiplantae; Streptophyta; Magnoliopsida; Asterales; Asteraceae. The record is from RefSeq and is a predicted model, not a curated record. The transcript has 9 exons.
CCUAAAUCUCUCAAUCGCCACAUUCUUCUCCUUCACGCCUGUUGUUCAUCCUCCCCCUUCUGCUUCAACUUCCCGACGUUGAUUCUAUCAACAAACCCUAAUGAACAAUAUACCCAAUCAAACCGUUAUUUAGUUUCUUCAUUCCUUUUUCAAACCCUAAAACUUCAGCCGUACAGAGAUUGAAGAGUAGCAGAUGGAGGUUGGUUCUGGGUGGAGAUGGUAGAGGAAGCGGUAUCUUUUGUGGGUAGUUCCUGAUUGGUGACCCUAAAACAGGUGAUAUCCUGCUUAGAUCGGAAAGUGCGUGUAUUGUUCCGGCCAAAUCACGACGGGUAAGAAGGUGUUUUCCGGAACAUAAAGAGGCUGAAGUGUCGCAGAAUAUAAAUUGAUAUUUGAUUUUCGUGCAUAGUAUCAACAGAUACGAGUCAUCUUUCUCUCGAUAGCCUCCAACCCGAAUCAUUGAUUGGUUUUGUUCUUCUCGAAUGUAUCUCAAACAUGAUAUUAUGAAUAUUAUUGUAUGAAGGUGUUAAUCGUUACAAAUAAUGGAGAUUUAUGUUUGUUGCAGGGGAUUAGUUUAGUUUGUGACACAGAAUAACCGGUUACUCUUGUACGUACACAAACUGAAGAGUCAAUUUGGGGAAUAUCUAUGAGAAAUCUAUAACUUCUAGGAUGAUGAUAUUGACAAGGGUCUGUUCCAUUGUGACAAUUGUGGAAUCUAUAGAGUUGCUGACCGUGAGUACUACUUCCAUUGCAAGAAAUUUGAAUGUAUAGGACAUUUUUUGUAUGUGUGUUAGUGCAGUGCGGAUUCAUAAUUUUUUACCGGGCCAGGUAACAGAAAAUAGCCAGAAUUGAGAAAAAAUUCAACAUUAAUGUAUACUUUAUGAUCAAGAAAUACACUGUAUUUGUAAAGCGAGACCAUGGAUUGGGUGGCAAACACGGUAGAUCGAAGAAGUUCGGGGAGAGUUCAAAAACUGAAAAAGAUGCUAGCUACUACCUGGUGGACUCUCGAACAUGGAAAACAUUCCGACGAAGUUUGUAGACAAGCAAAAACUUGAAACCUAGUAACUUCUGAAUGGCUAAUUUUGUUUUAAAUUAGGACUUUAUAGUGUUAUUCAUUUACUUUUCAAAUGAUUAUUAUGAUUUGAAAUAGUGUAGACAUGGACUUGAUUAUGAUUUUCCAUCGUGUGUUUUUUUUUUUUCAGGAACCAACAACACAACUGAUUUUGGGUUACAAGUCUUCAUUCAAGUAGAUCUCUGUCGCUGUGUCAGAUCGUUGCGUUAUUUCUAACAGAAUGAGCAAAUCUCCGCUACCUUAAAGACGACCAGAUCUCUGUCAUUUUUGUUGUUUUUUGUUGAGACGUGGAAGACAAAAGAAUUAGCAGAUCGACCCGUUGCAGAUUGUCGGCUAUUUCUAAAGCGGUGAUUGUCUAAAUGAAUCGGAAUGAUGGUGAUUCAAUUUGGCGAUUAUUGAGAUCUAUAGUAAGAAUCCUCCGAUUAGGUUAAACUUGAUUGUUAUAGAGUGAAGAAUUGGAACCUGAAUUGCCCAAAUAAUUUAGGCUUCGAGACAUCAGUUUGGGAACCUGAAUAUGAAUUCAUUAAAAAUAAGAGUGAAGAUUGUUAUUUUUAAUAACAAUGAAGAUUGUUAUUUUUAUAACAAUGGUCUCCUUUUAAUUAACUCAUACUAUCUUUCUUUUAUUUUAUUUGUUGUUUGAUUUUAUGUGUUGGGAACAGUGUUGAUUAGGUUAUAGUGAAAUGGUUAAACUUGGUGACUUGUAGAGUAAUCAUAAUUGUCCUACUCAGUAUGCUUUUUAUUAGUUGUUCUUUGAAACCGAGUGAAUUUGGUGGUUGUAUAUAUAUUAUACUCACUUUUGAUUGUGCUCAGAUGCUAAACGAAACACAAUACCAAACACUCCACCAUAAUGCAAAACUACACCGGGCAUUGCACGCCUGCAUCACCACUCACAACGUUUUUUCAGUUGAUCGUUUGAGGCAACUCUUGAUUCUUCAAACCGUCAAAAGGCAGGGGCUGAGUUCUUUGAAUUGGCGGGGGACAUCGAUAGAGAUUCGUCGAUGGUGAUUUUCGUCACCUCAGUAUCAAAGAUACAUUCAAUGUUAAUUUCUAUUUCGAUGUUGGUUUAUUUUGUUUUGAAAAUUGUUGGAAUUUGCAUUAAUUUGACUUAAAAAUUCAAGUUUUAUGUUAACCCUCUGAUUUGUGCAUUUGGGUUGAUCAUCUUCAUUUGUUAGUAAUAUCCAAAGAGUUAUAUGCAGGGGUCAAUUAAAUAGUAUAGUAUUUUGUCCGACGAGUUUAUUUGGAUGCAAAUGGUCUCAAAUUUUUGGUGGUUUUUUAUAUCUCUUUGGUUGCUUUUGGACUUUUUCUUUAUUAUUGUUUUUAAGUUUAGCAUGCUUUAGGCACCAUGAUUAUAUUUCGAUACAUGCAUGUUUGUGGGAU